AUUCUGAUUUAGUUGGGGCCUGGGGGAGUCCUGGCAGGAAUAAGUUUUCAAACUCUGCAUGUGAUUCUGAUUUGCAACCAGGGUUGAGAACUCCUGGUCUAGAUCACUGGUUCUCAAAUUUGCCUGCACAUUGAAAGCACUUGGGAAGUUUUAAAAAAUACUGGUACUUUCCUCCCACCUUCAAAAUUCUGAUUUGUAAUCGGAUGCAGCCUGGGCAUCCAGAAGUGAUUCUAAUAGGUCUAAUAUGCAGACAAGUUUGACAAGCAGUUUUCUAGACUGAACAAGUCAGUGGUAGCUUGAUGGCUCCUCCAGACACUGUGGUUCUCAAUGACUGCUCCCUGGACCAGCAUCAGCAUCACAGGGGAACUGUUUAGAGAUGCGAUUCUCAUGCUGCACCUCAGACCCACCGAAUCAGCAAUGCUGGGGGUGGGGUGGAGCGAUCUGUGUUGUAACAAGCCCUCUAGAUGACUCGGAUGCACCCUAAAUUCAGAGAAUCACGCUGCGUCACCACUGCUGUUACUUGAGGGUCCUGCCUUCCCUCCUCCUGGAGAGCAGCCAGAGCAAGAAGCAAGGGCUUCAAUCCUCUGAACGCUGGGCUAUGCCACGUCCCCAGUUUCCAGAUAAGCGAUGCCAGAAGUCUUGGGGUGACUGAGUUUUUAUAUAAUCUGUGGAGCUUUUGUUGGCUGGAAACUGGGAGCAUUGAGUUGGGAGAGCCAGUUGUGGGUUGCAGUGCCAUCAGAGCACGGCAGAGGGCACGGGAGGGAAGGCAGGUAGUGCCAGGCAGCCGUGGCCCCUGUUGUCUGGGAUGUGAAGUCCGAGAGGGGACAGGAGGGAAGUAAAACUAACAGGCAAGAAAUCCUCUGAGGGAAGACGAGAUUGGUCAAAGCCGAAGGACAGGUGCUAACAGUGAGUAUCGACUGCAAACCAGCAAAGUGCCAAAGGACCUUCAAGGAGAGCAAAUCAAUGGGCCAGAAGUGAUAAUUUUCUAGAAGUUCUGGGAGGAAGCACGAGCUUCUGAAGCACAGCCGUUCACCGCCUUGCACCCGGUCUGUGGCCCUUUGUUAUGGCAGCCCUAGUGAACUGACACAGCUCCCUCCCUGAAUCGGACUGGCCUGUGCUUACGGAGAUGGCAUUAUGACCCAGGCCACAUCAUAAAGGCUAUAGACCUUCCAUUGGGUCUCUUGGGAGACUGGUCAGCCACGCUGUGAAGAAGCCCCGGUCAUCUGAAAAGGUCACAUGCUGGUGUUCCAGCCCACAAUCCCAGGCUCUUUCCAGGUUGUUCUGCUCUGGAAGGCUAGCCAACCAAAGCUUUCUAGCAAAAGCGACUUGCUCCCACGUGCCUCUAGUGGAGGACAUGGAGACUGCCUGCGGCACAGGGGCCCAUGUUUGUACUGACUGCAGUCAACCUGCCCCCUCCCCCGGACCCCAGCUUGGUGUCAGUGUGUCCUGCAGACGGCCGCCCCCCCCAGAAUCACUUUAGGGAGCCCCAUCUUUCCCAACCAGAGAAAUUUCUCUUCACAGUCACAGCCCCUGGGUGACUACAAAUAAAAAAUAAGUAAAUGCA
RNAcentral lists this long non-coding RNA (1564 nucleotides) under Equus caballus (horse). RNAcentral's name for it is "lncRNA (ENSECAG00000059541.1)". Lineage: Eukaryota; Metazoa; Chordata; Mammalia; Perissodactyla; Equidae. The record is from RNAcentral.